AUGCACGCUGGCGGCGUGCCUCACCCCUGCCAGUCGCGCGGCAGCGAGGGGUGCUUGCACCCUGUCGGCGAGCGGCGGACGGCUGAGUAACGCGUGGGAACGUGCCCCAAAGUGAGGAAUAACUGCCCGAAAGGGUAGCUAAUACCGCAUAUUAUCUUCGGAUCAAAGGAUUUAUCCGCUUUGGGAGCGGCUCGCGUCGGAUUAGGUAGUUGGUGAGGUAAUGGCUCACCAAGCCGACGAUCCGUAGCUGGUCUGAGAGGAUGACCAGCCAGACUGGAACUGAGACACGGUCCAGACUCCUACGGGAGGCAGCAGUGAGGAAUCUUCCACAAUGGGCGAAAGCCUGAUGGAGCAACGCCGCGUGCAGGACGAAGGCCUUCGGGUUGUAAACUGCUUUUAUAAGUGAGGAAUAUGACGGUAACUUAUGAAUAAGGAUCGGCUAACUACGUG
RNAcentral lists this ribosomal RNA (450 nucleotides) under uncultured bacterium. RNAcentral describes it as "partial 16S ribosomal RNA". It matches the Rfam family "Bacterial small subunit ribosomal RNA", at positions 29 to 507 of the family's 1533-position model. The record is from RNAcentral.